Hydra vulgaris (swiftwater hydra) is the source of this 574-nucleotide long non-coding RNA. RefSeq lists it as uncharacterized. Lineage: Eukaryota; Metazoa; Cnidaria; Hydrozoa; Anthoathecata; Hydridae. The record is from RefSeq and is a predicted model, not a curated record.
UGAGCAGAUAGUCUAUAAAAGUGAGCAGUUUUGUUACCUCAUUUCUGUUUUUCUGAUUUCCGUAAGUGGGUGGUAAGAGGGGUACAAACAAGUUGAAUUUUAUUUGUGUGACUUGUUUAUAGUUUCUAAAAUUUUAUUGGUUUCAUUGAAAUUGAAAACAUAAGCGUUGAUUACUAUAAUUCUAGCUAUAGGUUGUGGGUAACCAUUACCACCCUAUUUAACAAACUUCUCAACUUAACCAAAAUUUACGAAUAGCAGCGGAAAGACUUUUUUUCAAAAGUAGGCUCAGUUGUGGUCUUUAUCUUUAGCUUGUAGGUUAUACUUGGUGCAAAAAGCCUAAUUCAGGUUUUAAAUUGUUAACUUAUUUUAAAAUAAUUAUAAUUGUUAUUAUAAAGAUUUAUUUAUUUUACUUAUUUAUUUUUUUAGGUUGGGGGGGGGGGGCACACGCCCCUCCCACAAGUCAAUAAGCACACCACCAAUAAAUGAAUUUCUUGUAGCAAAAAAAUUUUUUAUGUUUUUUAUACUGUAUACUAGUUUCACUUAUUUUAUUAAAUAUAGAAAUAUUUAUUUAUUU